ACACGACAAUACUAAAACUUCCGCGAGGAAGUGACGGAAAGCCUAAGGGUCUCACGCAGACAGCCGGGUCGCCGAA
This 76-nucleotide non-coding RNA is filed under the name Geobacteraceae bacterium. RNAcentral describes it as "c-di-GMP sequence". It matches the Rfam family "c-di-GMP-I riboswitch aptamer". From Rfam's summary of the family: GEMM was predicted in a large-scale screen for bacterial structured RNA regulatory elements. Genes associated with GEMM are involved in a diverse array of functions, including chemotaxis regulation, signal transduction, secretion and chitin. Lineage: Bacteria; Pseudomonadati; Thermodesulfobacteriota; Desulfuromonadia; Geobacterales; Geobacteraceae. The record is from RNAcentral.